This is a long non-coding RNA of Ornithodoros turicata, 2175 nucleotides long. RefSeq lists it as uncharacterized. The transcript is spliced from 3 exons. Lineage: Eukaryota; Metazoa; Arthropoda; Arachnida; Ixodida; Argasidae. The record is from RefSeq and is a predicted model, not a curated record.
GCAGCAGUUCCCGCAAGUGGUGCCGCGAGCGCGUUUUGAAAAUGGCGAACUCCAGUGAGGAAGAUAGACGAGCCACCCGGAAACAAUGUAUGACUCCUAAAAUGAAGAAGACAUGAACGAAAUUCUUCAAACGCUGUGCUGUUCUGACAUUUCUUGCGCCAUCAGCGACGACGAUGAUCCAAAGCUGGCAGCCCCCGCCAGCUCUCUCACAGAACGAAGAACGGUGAAAACCAGGAACGAACGGCAACCCUAGAGCAGAUGAUCUCGUCAACAGAAUCUCGGAACGAAAAUGUCCAUAACGAAAGUGGCAGGUUCAUAUGGAAGCGUCGACAAUUUGAGGGGCACUGAUCAUGGCUCCAGUGUCUGGUAGGAUUCCAGACAAUACAGUCAAGCUCCAGAGCACUGCAGUGCACAGGCCUGCGAAGCUGCCCGGAGCUGACGUAAGACGUGAUGGUUUCGACCACUGGGCGACAGCAAAUAGCCUAGCAUCAGCCCACGUUUGUAGGCUUGAAGGUUGCAAGUAUCAUACCUGAACGAGAUGUGACAAGUGCAAUGUGUACUUGUGUUGAACCAGUGGAAAGAACUGUUUCAAGUACUUUCACAUCUUCAUAGAUGUGCCAAUAAAGACCCAGACAAUACAUAAUGUCAUAAACAGCGAGAAUUAGCCGAGACAGGCCACAGAUAUGGAUGACACAAACAGGUAAGCCUCCAACGCCCAGAACACAUACACAGAACACAUAUGUGUUGGUCUGCUGUUCUCAGUUGGGUUGCAGUAAGUGCACGUUUAAGUUAAAUGGUACAUUACUCUGGCCAUGUGCAAUAAUAGACAUUGUGCAUGACCAGAAGUGUGCGAUAUCUUCGUAAGUUCACAUUACAUGUUUUUCUUCAGAAUUAUACUGCAUAUAGCCUACUCUGAUGUAAUAUUGUUUUAACGGCCAGCGCAAGCCUGAAUGAGCUUUUAUAAUUAAUCAGCGUAGUUUAAUUAAUACAAAAUCAGUUCGUGGUCUUAAUUAGAGAUCAAAGCCCUGAGGUAUAAUCCACAAAAAUGGAAACCACAGUGAACGUGUAUGGUGCUCUACGACAAAUGGAAAAAUGCAAAAGUUCUGUGUGUCCUGUGAAGUUUUUUUUUUUUUUAUAGCGUUAGGUUUCCCUCUCUGCUGUGUGCAAUCUACCUCGAUGCACUUGCUGCCGUUCUGCGGUCCGUGAUGUACUCCCGCUCUCUAAUGCAAUGAAAUCAAAAGUAAACACUACUUUGUCGUCGCUCCCAGAAGUUAAUGUCUAUGAUGAACGGCGAGACAAGGAAGAAAUAAAAAUUCCAUAAUAGGCAAGCCUGAGCGAUGGGCAAGACAUGUAAACAAACACGAAGGCUCAAACGUCUUGCUGGUUUGAGCCUUCGUGUUUGUGUUUAUUUACGUGUCUUGCCCAUCGCUCAGGCUUGCCUAUCAUGGAAUUUAUCCACCAGCUAGCCUGCGUUUGCCUGUCGAAGAAAUAAAAAGAAGCGUGACAGCGCCACUUUUCUUAGUAGUACAGCAGUACAAAGCAGGGGUGCACCACCCAUUGAGGAACAGCCAGCCAGCAGACUGAGAGAGAGUGAGACAGCGAGGGAGGGAUGAAAAAGCGGCCACACGUAAAAUUGAACUCGGCGGGACGCACACCAGUUUUGUGUUAUUGUCCCUUUUCAUACUGCGGGAACGAAGGUCGCUCCAGGUUCCAUUUUUGCGGAUUGCAAGACCUCAAGGUUCUGCUUUACAAACUCUCUGGUUUAAACCAUCAGUCCAGUUUUAUUCAUUAUUUUGAAAGCCCAUUAAAGCCCCAGGACAGGUUUCGUCUUUCAGACGUAUGGAAAAUUUGGUUGGCUGAAGAGUGGGAAAGAAGAAUCAGUGACAAACCAAAAUAACAGGAAAACGAGCUGUCUGGACCAGCCCGCUUUGUGAGGCGCUCUCCGUGCGUUAUCGCUAUCUCUGAAUGACACGGCAGCGUCUGUCGCCUGCGAAGAAAACAUUUCUGUGACCUGAUCGGGGGUUUACAAGUAUUUCUACGAAGGCGGCAUUCGCCCAUUACAAACUAUGGCUACAGUGUGUACCGGUUGCCUUGUUCGUACAUUGUUGUAUUGAGUCGUAGGGUCAUGGCGAAGAAAAUAUAAGAUGAUUGAAAAAUAAAUUGUAUACAAAUUCA